Long non-coding RNA from Strigops habroptila (Kakapo), 3400 nucleotides. RefSeq lists it as uncharacterized. The record is from RefSeq and is a predicted model, not a curated record. Lineage: Eukaryota; Metazoa; Chordata; Aves; Psittaciformes; Psittacidae. The transcript is spliced from 2 exons.
GCGGUUCACCUCUGCGCGGCGCCGGAUCGAACUGCAAGCUGAAGAGCACAGCUAUUAGUGACCCUGCAAGAGCUCCCGUGACAUUCACGCAAGAACGUGCCCGUUCACAAGACUACAACAGGAAGACAGCACUGUCAUCCUGCUGAGCUGUUCUGAAUUUCAUUUUCAGCCCAUGUACUCAAGCACCCAAUAUGUGCUGAAUCACGGAUCCCACCAGUUUAUAAAGUUCUCUUUCAGUACCUCAUGGGGAACUUCCUGCAAGCGAUCAAGUGCUCUGAUGUGAUCCAGUGUAUCUAUCGAUGGAGAGAGGCCACCGUGUAGACAGAAAAUCUGCAACAGUGAGAUAUAACAAAUGUAAACGACUGGGAAAACCUUCAUCUAUCAGUACCAUUAUAAUUGUUUAGUGUAUUUAGGAAUAAACAUGCAAGAGAUUCCUUUCAAGCUGAGAGCUGAUAGAAUACAGCCUAAACAGCUCCUUUUACAACUAGGAACACUGUCAAAUACCAGCGUACCUGGCCAUCCACCAAGGCAGUUAGAGGCAGGUAAUCAAAAAGGUCUGUGAAGUAUUUCCAAACAUUUGCAUUUCCGUAUUUUCUUAAACAUUCAUCAUAGAAACCAUAUACUUGUGUGAUUUGCCUGCUUUCAUGGUUCCCGCGGAGAAUUGUGAUGCGUUCACGGUAUCGGACCUAGACAGAACACCUCAGUUUAGAAGCAGUAAAUACACGUGUCUUCCCCAAAACCCCACCAAACCAUUUGCACCCCUCACCCCCCAUCAUGUGUCCAUAAAGCAAUGAAAACCAAACCCUUUUCAAGCUGAAAAUUCAAUUAUAAGCUUUGAGAAAAGAAGGGAUAAUUCAUUCAAAUCUUCAGCUGCCAAAUACUUUGGAGAUUAAUUCCAAAUGCUAUUCAUUGUAACUAGUGGACUUCACUACAUCUGUGCAUUAAGAUGAUCUCCCCAAGGGAAUUAUUAAAGAUUCCCACUUAGGCAAGUAAAAAUAAAUACAGCACUAACUGAACCUCUCAGAAGCAUCUUAGAAAACCAAGACAGCCAACAUUUCGGUUUCUGUACAUAACGCCAAAGUAGUGCAAAUCAGAAUAGAUAUUAAGCACAGGCAGGACAGUAAAUAUAUACAUUUUUAUACAGAAUCAUAGAGCUGAGAAGUUACCUUAAGAGCUACAAGCAAUGUGACUGUUUCGACUGAAUAAUAGCCUCUGUCAACAUAGUCCCCCAUAAACAAAUAGUUUGUGUCUGGUGAUUUGCCUCCAAUUCUGAAGAGUUCCAUGAGGUCGUGAAACUGGCCGUGGACAUCCCCGCAGACUGUGACCGGACAUCGCACCUCCUGUACGUUAGACUCCUUCGUCAGGAUUUCUUUAGCCUGGAAAACAACACACACACAUAGAUUGUGAAUGGCUAUGAACAGCCAUUUCAUCCAGUGUGCUCCACCACUCUACCACUUGCUCUCUUCAUGAACUCUUGUCCCUUCCUUCUCUGAAGCACUUGAGAGAAGAGUUUACUUAAAAUGACAUUUUGCUUUACGCAACCCUGCAUUAGCAGCAGCAGUUUGGUUUGGUGGGGUUUUCCCCUCCUUGAGGAAGGUAUUUCAGAAUUAGUUUCCAGCAUAAGACAAACUUCAGACUUUCUACACAAACAGUUCCAUGAAGCCUAAACCACCGAUCAUCACAGCUCCAACUGAAGAAGUCCAUAGGGAUUUGGAAACACUACAUCUAAAGCUCAUGCCAGUCUUAUCUCCAAUUCAAAGCCUGAAUUGGACAUGGCUGAAACCAAGGCUUUCCCUUGGGGAUGUAAGCACAGCACAAGCUCUCUGAGCAAGUUUUGUGUUUGUGUCCUUAAACCAAAGCAGAGAAACAUCUUUGUCAUCACCACUUGUUCCCCACAAAAUUCUGUCUGUAAAAGUUGCAGACAAAGGCAAUUCGUGUGAAGAACAAACUAAAUAUAGCAUCAGAAAGGUAACUCUGAAAUCCUCAGAAUUCCUUCAUCGUACCAUCACGGUGCCAGUUGCUGCAGCUUGUUCUCAGCACAGCCACCAAACACAUGCCACAGUAAUUUUCUAAAUCAAGAGAGUAUUAGAAAUAUAAAUAGUAACACGUUUACAAGCUACAUCUACAAAGAUUUCCAUCCCGUUCGACUGCCAGUGCUCCUGUUCAGACGGGAUCCCUUUUCUGCCUCACUGCCGGAAUGACAAGAGAACACACAAAACCUGUGUUCCAUUUAGAACCCAAGGUGGUGACGAGAUUUGCAGAGACAGCACCAAAUACCACCUGUGCGCACGCCACGCUGGAUCCAAAGUGUUCUGAAGCACACACCAGAUGGAAGAGCAACACCACAUUCAUUUUAGGGUCACUUUUGUUAACUUUCUCAGACCUAACCCGACACCUGAAGCAGAGGACUCAUUUUGGGGGGUUCUGCUAAGUGAAGUAUUCUGAGACAACAGAAAAAAAAUCACCAUAAUCCAAAGAGCAUUACAUUUUAAAAGGUUAGGAAAGACAUCUGAAGUUAAAUUUGAACAGUGUAUUGAAUCCUGGGUAUUGACAUGAGCCAACCCAUUAAGGAACAUGCUGUGUCCAACCUUCCACCCUCUUCACGGAGCCAUUAGCGGGACAGUGGGGACGCUCCCACCCCCAGAAGGGGUCUCACUGCUGCCGCACGCUGCCCAGGAGAACCACCACGGUCACCACUUCAAACAAGGGGAGCACCAGCCACACACAGCUUAAAGAUGGAGGGGCACGAAACUCAGUGUUUCAUUCAACACUGCAAAGAAAUGCAAAAAUGCGAUUGUGGUUUAGCACCCUGCACAAUACAGAGCUUUAGAUAUUACAGCAUGAGCAGCAGAGUUAAAUCACUCUGCAGACGUAUUUACAUCAAAAGUCAAUCUCAUGUGACAGUUUCCACUCAUGCCGUGCCUAGUUCUAAAGAUAGGUCAUUGCUGGCUUGUGGUAGAUGCUAAAAGUGUACAUUUAUUUUAAGAGAUCCUGACUUAAGUUCAUUUUUAUGCAGUGACACUCACCGGAUGUUUUGAAGGUGUUUUAACAGCUUUCGCCUCUUCUAAUAUGCUAUUACAUUCAGAAGCUUUAAGCACCUUAAUUCUCCUUUUGACAGAGAAUGUUGCAGAUGCUGAUGGUGCUUCGACAUGAAAAGCCUCCUCUGUAAUUAGGAUGCUUUCUAUGGCUGUAUUUUCUCAAGGCAGUGGAAGCACUGCACAAGGAAUGCAGCAUUCAUUUUUCAUCAAAGGCUUGCAGCGUUUGUGCUGACUGAGAUUUAACUGGCACCGUCCUCAGCAACGGAGCUGUUGCUUCCUCAUUUUCUGAAACAUUAAAUCACUCAGCUACGCAGACGACCGAACACCGAGGUAAGUCAGACAGCUACCCUGAUGGAAAAAGA